RNAcentral lists this ribosomal RNA (677 nucleotides) under Escherichia coli. RNAcentral describes it as "partial 23S ribosomal RNA". It matches the Rfam family "Bacterial large subunit ribosomal RNA", at positions 2259 to 2925 of the family's 2925-position model. Lineage: Bacteria; Pseudomonadati; Pseudomonadota; Gammaproteobacteria; Enterobacterales; Enterobacteriaceae. The record is from RNAcentral.
UGGUGGGUAGUUUGACUGGGGCGGUCUCCUCCUAAAGAGUAACGGAGGAGCACGAAGGUUGGCUAAUCCUGGUCGGACAUCAGGAGGUUAGUGCAAUGGCAUAAGCCAGCUUGACUGCGAGCGUGACGGCGCGAGCAGGUGCGAAAGCAGGUCAUAGUGAUCCGGUGGUUCUGAAUGGAAGGGCCAUCGCUCAACGGAUAAAAGGUACUCCGGGGAUAACAGGCUGAUACCGCCCAAGAGUUCAUAUCGACGGCGGUGUUUGGCACCUCGAUGUCGGCUCAUCACAUCCUGGGGCUGAAGUAGGUCCCAAGGGUAUGGCUGUUCGCCAUUUAAAGUGGUACGCGAGCUGGGUUUAGAACGUCGUGAGACAGUUCGGUCCCUAUCUGCCGUGGGCGCUGGAGAACUGAGGGGGGCUGCUCCUAGUACGAGAGGACCGGAGUGGACGCAUCACUGGUGUUCGGGUUGUCAUGCCAAUGGCACUGCCCGGUAGCUAAAUGCGGAAGAGAUAAGUGCUGAAAGCAUCUAAGCACGAAACUUGCCCCGAGAUGAGUUCUCCCUGACUCCUUGAGGGUCCUGAAGGAACGUUGAAGACGACGACGUUGAUAGGCCGGGUGUGUAAGCGCAGCGAUGCGUUGAGCUAACCGGUACUAAUGAACCGUGAGGCUUAACCUUACAAC